GUACACGGAUGGUGCAAAUCGGAUGCGACGAAUGUCAAUCGAAUAGGGCUACCAAAGUCCUCUUCUAUGUCCACACUCUAAAACCUCGGGAACGUAGGUAGAAAUCCAAAGAGAAAGAAGAGCGAGAAAAAGGAAGAUUGAUCGUGAAUUCUCUUAGAUCGAAUUAGAUCGUAUGAUACGAGAGAGAAAGGGGACGUAUUUAUAGAAUAUUAGAACCCUUAAAUACCUUGAAUCUCACACAGAGAUUACUAUUAGGAUAUCCAUAAUAGAUAUCCAAUAGAAUAUAUGUUUCUUAACUAAUAAGAAACAUAUAAUCUAUUAUUAUCCUUAACUUAUUAGGAUAAAUUUUAAUCCACAUCUUAUGUUGAUCGGAUUAAAUUAAAACCCGCCAAUAUGGACACACAACAUGGUAACAAAAUCAUCAUUAUACAAAUCAACCUCUGGAAACAUCAUAUUGUCAUUCA
RNAcentral lists this long non-coding RNA (464 nucleotides) under Ananas comosus (pineapple). Its description in RNAcentral is "long non-coding RNA (ACOM_LNC040100)". The record is from RNAcentral. Lineage: Eukaryota; Viridiplantae; Streptophyta; Magnoliopsida; Poales; Bromeliaceae.